Molecule: RNase P RNA, 496 nt
Filed under: Spirochaetaceae bacterium
Lineage: Bacteria; Pseudomonadati; Spirochaetota; Spirochaetia; Spirochaetales; Spirochaetaceae
Description: RNase P RNA component class A
Rfam family: Bacterial RNase P class A
About the family: Ribonuclease P (RNase P) is a ubiquitous endoribonuclease, found in archaea, bacteria and eukarya as well as chloroplasts and mitochondria. Its best characterised activity is the generation of mature 5'-ends of tRNAs by cleaving the 5'-leader elements of precursor-tRNAs. Cellular RNase Ps are ribonucleoproteins.
Source: RNAcentral
ACGAUGAACCAGGCUGCCGCUCCGUUAUGGCUCCUUCGGGAAACAGGAACGGGGAGGAAAGUCCGGGCUCCAGAGGGCAUGAUGCCGGGUAACUCCCGGGCGGGAAGGGAGCAAUCCUUUUCCGACAGACAGCGCAACAGAAAGUAUACCGCCGGCGGGUCUCGGGCAAAGCCCCUGCCCGCGCGGCAAGGGUGAAACGGCGGGGUAAGAGCCCACCCCGGUACCGGCGACGGUACCGGAAAAUUCCCGGUCCUGCCUAAAACGCACGCCGUUUUCGGCAGGACCGGGAAGCGGCAAACCUCAUCAGGAGCAAAGUCAAGCAGUGUGUUGCCGGUUUCCUCCGGGAAACCGGCUCCCGGCGGCCCGCCGGUUAAGCACGGGUAGACUGCGGGAGCCGGUACGCAAGGUCCGGCCCAGAUAGAUGGCGGCAAGGCCGCCGGGGCGGUCUGACCGCCCCGGCGGCUUACAGAAUCCGGCUUACCGGUUCAUCGUUUUU